UCACACUGCGCCAGUUUCUGUAACCUUAUGGUUCCUCUCAUUCGAUGAAGACUUCGCCUUGCCUAAAGCAGGAGAGGAAUAAUACAGUCAAAUCUAGAGUUUGAGAAAAGAAAACAAAAAAAAUCAUAAGAUUGACAAAUGACUUUAGUCAGGGUAUCCAUCCAUCUAUCAUCUACUAAGGGCAGAUAAUUAGGCAGACAAUUGUAUUUCAUUUUACUACCUACAAUUAUUGUGCACACAAGAUGGUGAUUAUUAUCAGAAUGAUCCUUCGGAUUCAGUAGCCCAAGCACGGUUACUGGGUAAGACAAAAUAAA
Molecule: long non-coding RNA, 314 nt
Filed under: Salvia miltiorrhiza (redroot sage)
Lineage: Eukaryota; Viridiplantae; Streptophyta; Magnoliopsida; Lamiales; Lamiaceae
Description: long non-coding RNA (SMIL_LNC000554)
Source: RNAcentral